Molecule: ribosomal RNA, 253 nt
Filed under: uncultured bacterium
Lineage: Bacteria
Description: partial 16S ribosomal RNA
Rfam family: Bacterial small subunit ribosomal RNA
Source: RNAcentral
UACGUAGGGUGCGAGCGUUGUCCGGAUUUAUUAGGCGUAAAGGGCUCGUAGGCGGCCUGUCGCGUCGGGAGUGAAAGCCCACUGCUUAACGGUGGGUCUGCUUCCGGUACGGGCGGGCUGGAGUAUGGCAGGGGAGACUGGAAUUCCUGGUGUAGCGGUGAAAUGCGCAGAUAUCAGGAGGAACACCGGUGGCGAAGGCGGGUCUCUGGGCAGUAACUGACGCUGAGGAGCGAAAGCGUGGGGAGCGAACAGG